Molecule: transfer RNA, 67 nt
Filed under: Fieberiella septentrionalis
Lineage: Eukaryota; Metazoa; Arthropoda; Insecta; Hemiptera; Cicadellidae
Description: tRNA-Trp
Source: RNAcentral
AAGACUUUAAGUUAAAAAUAAAACUAGUAACCUUCAAAGUUGAAUAUAUCUAUGACGAUAAGUCUUA